This 329-nucleotide ribosomal RNA is filed under the name uncultured bacterium. RNAcentral describes it as "bacterial SSU rRNA". It matches the Rfam family "Bacterial small subunit ribosomal RNA", at positions 568 to 898 of the family's 1533-position model. The record is from RNAcentral.
CGCGUAGGCGGACAGUUUAGUCGGGGGUGAAAUCCCAGGGCUCAACCCUGGAACUGCCUUCGAUACUGGCUGUCUUGAGUUCGGGAGAGGUGAGUGGAAUGCCGAGUGUAGAGGUGAAAUUCGUAGAUAUUCGGCGGAACACCAGUGGCGAAGGCGACUCACUGGCCCGAUACUGACGCUGAUGCGCGAAAGCGUGGGAGCAAACAGGAUUAGAUACCCUGGUAGUCCACGCUGUAAACGAUGAGUGCUAGUUGUCGGCAUGCAUGCAUGUCGGUGACGCAGCUAACGCAUUAAGCACUCCGCCUGGGGAGUACGGUCGCAAGAUUAAA